This 1699-nucleotide long non-coding RNA is filed under the name Triticum aestivum (bread wheat). Its description in RNAcentral is "long non-coding RNA (TAES_LNC002655)". Lineage: Eukaryota; Viridiplantae; Streptophyta; Magnoliopsida; Poales; Poaceae. The record is from RNAcentral.
CAGGCUAGAUGUUCAAGGAGGUAGCGUAGGUGCAGCCGUGUGUCCAUCCUCUCCAGUGGAAGGCACCUGGUACAAUGGUACCCCAUGAUCCUCCUUCCAAUUGAUUUUUUAUUGUCAAUUUGUGUUUGGCCCCAAACAUUUUUUUUCCUUCUUUAAUAAGUACAACUCCUAUGAGUGAUUGAUCAGAGCUCUAAUUUCGGGUGUUGAUUGAGUUCACCUUGUUAUGUAUAGAAUGAAUGAUGGGAUUCAUGUUUUUGUACAUAUCACGGAGGAUCUAGUAUGAUAAUAUUAAUACUUCUACAUAGUAUUACCUCACCUUUCAUACCAUUGUCCACUUGUGUUGUGCUACUAUCCAAUGGGGACACGUUUAUUUUGUUGCCAUGUCACGUAAGAGUAUAAUAUACUUCUGAUAUCUCCGAGAGUGUAUAUAAAGACUAUAGAUUUUGUAGUAUGUUAAGGUGAUCAAAGUUUCUCUGUAUUACCUUUAUACAUGACAACAGAUUAUAAUGCUGUCAAAUUUAUGUGACUAUAACCAAACAACAUUGUAAUUUCUUUCUGACAGCAGUUUAGCUAGUCAUUUUAUACAGAUUGUAAUAAUAUCAAACUGAUGUGGGCUUUAACCAAACCACAUACAGUAUUUUUUUUUCUGUCCGCACAUUAACUGGUCAUUUUUAUACAGAUUAUAAUAUUGUCAAAUCGACAUGAGCUAUAACCAAACAUCUCUGUGAUUUUUUUCUGUCAGAAAACAGCUAGUAAGUUUUUUAUUGCAUUGACACUAUCGUAAGAGACAAUGUUUUCUUACUGUUUGCAGAUAUUUAAGGAUAUAACAUUAUGGAAAUUUUCAGCAGAUGAUCUUUUGCAAGUGAAAAGAAUACAUCUUUAUAAGGAGCAAUCAAUGUGGGGCCAUUACAAGGUGUGUGAUUUAUCCAUGUUCCAACCUUUUCUGCUGACAAAGAUGGUUCAGAAUAAUGUAGUCGUCAUCUGUUUGACAGAUAAGCUGCAUUAUCUCUAGAUCAGCUGGCUCAAACUUCUUUGUUGUGUCAUCUCCACUAGUGUAGAGUUUCUAUUGGAUGGAAGAUUACUAGUGUCGACAAGCAUAACCAGUCAAUCCUAAGAAGUCUUAGUUCUAUAGAGAAGAAACACACAAAUGAUAACUAUUCUUUGUGAAAUCAAUGUAUAUUUCUUAUUUAAAGUUAUCUAGCUCUGCUUCUCUAUAUUUCCCUUCACCUUUUCUGAUGCUAAUGUGCUCUUGUUGCAGGAUUUAGAGGACAAAACUAAUUAUAUGGACAGAUUAUAACAGGUUUUAUAUUGGAAAUAAUCUUGAAAAAUGUGCAAGCGAAAUCUUCACAUUUAUCCAGAAGCCAUAUCCAUAAAAGCUGCGAAAGCCGUCAAGUUGAUGUACCAAACUAGCUAUAGAAUUUUUAGAUAGAUUUCCACUGAGAAUUUCCAUUUUUUUCUCAAAUUGGUUUCAACUUUCAGAUAGUUAGAAUUAGAAUUAGAAGUUUAUUUUCUAGUGACAUACACAUUAUUGUAUGAACGUACAGUUCACUUGUAAACUAUCAAUACCCUUUGUAAUAAAAAUAGUUGUAAUGGCUUGCACAUUGCUACUUGUUUUGCGGUUGUGAUUAUGAGAAACUUUUUCAGUUAAUUAUGAGAAUAAGAUGAUUGCAAUGCAACAAUGAUGUUGAAUAAUGCCUAC